This 1068-nucleotide ribosomal RNA is filed under the name Alicyclobacillus sp. enrichment culture clone MRT18-21. Its description in RNAcentral is "bacterial SSU rRNA". It matches the Rfam family "Bacterial small subunit ribosomal RNA", at positions 336 to 1397 of the family's 1533-position model. Lineage: Bacteria; Bacillati; Bacillota; Bacilli; Caryophanales; Alicyclobacillaceae. The record is from RNAcentral.
CUCCUACGGGAGGCAGCAGUAGGGAAUCUUCCGCAAUGGGCGCAAGCCUGACGGAGCAACGCCGCGUGAGUGAGGAAGGCCUUCGGGUUGUAAAACUCAGUCACCUGGGAAGAGAGGUAUGGGGAGUGGAAUGCCCCAUACGAGACGGUACCAGGGGAGGAAGCCCCGGCUAACUACGUGCCAGCAGCCGCGGUAAUACGUAGGGGGCAAGCGUUGUCCGGAAUCACUGGGCGUAAAGCGUGCGUAGGCGGUCUUUCAAGUCCGGGGUGAAAACUCAAGGCUCAACCUUGAGAAUGCCUUGGAAACUGGGGGACUUGAGUACUGGAGAGGCAAGGGGAAUUCCACGUGUAGCGGUGAAAUGCGUAGAGAUGUGGAGGAAUACCAGUGGCGAAGGCGCCUUGCUGGACAGUGACUGACGCUGAGGCACGAAAGCGUGGGGAGCAAACAGGAUUAGAUACCCUGGUAGUCCACGCCGUAAACGAUGAGUGCUAGGUGUUGGGGGUUCAUCCCCUCAGUGCCGAAGGAAACCCAAUAAGCACUCCGCCUGGGGAGUACGGUCGCAAGACUGAAACUCAAAGGAAUUGACGGGGGCCCGCACAAGCAGUGGAGCAUGUGGUUUAAUUCGAAGCAACGCGAAGAACCUUACCAGGGCUUGACAUCCCUCUGACCGGUUCAGAGAUGGACCUUCCCUUCGGGGCAGAGGAGACAGGUGGUGCAUGGUUGUCGUCAGCUCGUGUCGUGAGAUGUUGGGUUAAGUCCCGCAACGAGCGCAACCCUUGACCUGUGUUACCAGCACGUAAUGGUGGGGACUCACAGGUGACUGCCGGCGUAAGUCGGAGGAAGGUGGGGAUGACGUCAAAUCAUCAUGCCCUUUAUGUCCUGGGCUACACACGUGCUACAAUGGGCGGUACAACGGGAAGCGAGACCGCGAGGUGGAGCGAAACCCAAAAAGCCGUUCGUAGUUCGGAUUGCAGGCUGCAACCCGCCUGCAUGAAGCCGGAAUUGCUAGUAAUCGCGGAUCAGUAUGCCGCGGUGAAUCCGUUCCUGGGCCCUGUACACACCGCCCGU